Molecule: non-coding RNA, 175 nt
Organism: Oesophagostomum dentatum (nodular worm)
Lineage: Eukaryota; Metazoa; Nematoda; Chromadorea; Rhabditida; Strongylidae
Source: Rfam
AUCGCUUCUCGGCCUUUUGGCUAAGAUCAAAGUUUAGUUUCUGUUCUUAUCGAAUUAACCCCCAAUAUUUUGUAGAAGUUAUUUUCUUCGUUUACCUAAAUCUGUACUGAGACCGCCAUUCUUAGUAUUAAAGAGUCCGCAGGUUCUGAAUUAGUCCUCCAAGGCCUCACGCAUU